This 76-nucleotide transfer RNA is filed under the name Kistimonas sp. RNAcentral describes it as "tRNA-Ala". It matches the Rfam family "tRNA". Rfam says of the family: Transfer RNA (tRNA) molecules are approximately 80 nucleotides in length. Their secondary structure includes four short double-helical elements and three loops (D, anti-codon, and T loops). The record is from RNAcentral. Lineage: Bacteria; Pseudomonadati; Pseudomonadota; Gammaproteobacteria; Oceanospirillales; Endozoicomonadaceae.
GGGGCCUUAGCUCAGAUGGGAGAGCGCAACACUGGCAGUGUUGAGGUCGGCGGUUCGAUCCCGCCAGGCUCCACCA